This 595-nucleotide ribosomal RNA is filed under the name Pseudomonas sp. Its description in RNAcentral is "bacterial SSU rRNA". It matches the Rfam family "Bacterial small subunit ribosomal RNA", at positions 88 to 679 of the family's 1533-position model. The record is from RNAcentral. Lineage: Bacteria; Pseudomonadati; Pseudomonadota; Gammaproteobacteria; Pseudomonadales; Pseudomonadaceae.
UGAUUCAGCGGCGGACGGGUGAGUAAUGCCUAGGAAUCUGCCUGGUAGUGGGGGACAACGUUUCGAAAGGAACGCUAAUACCGCAUACGUCCUACGGGAGAAAGCAGGGGACCUUCGGGCCUUGCGCUAUCAGAUGAGCCUAGGUCGGAUUAGCUAGUUGGUGAGGUAAUGGCUCACCAAGGCGACGAUCCGUAACUGGUCUGAGAGGAUGAUCAGUCACACUGGAACUGAGACACGGUCCAGACUCCUACGGGAGGCAGCAGUGGGGAAUAUUGGACAAUGGGCGAAAGCCUGAUCCAGCCAUGCCGCGUGUGUGAAGAAGGUCUUCGGAUUGUAAAGCACUUUAAGUUGGGAGGAAGGGCAGUAAGUUAAUACCUUGCUGUUUUGACGUUACCGACAGAAUAAGCACCGGCUAACUUCGUGCCAGCAGCCGCGGUAAUACGAAGGGUGCAAGCGUUAAUCGGAAUUACUGGGCGUAAAGCGCGCGUAGGUGGUUUGUUAAGUUGGAUGUGAAAGCCCCGGGCUCAACCUGGGAACUGCAUCCAAAACUGGCAAGCUAGAGUAUGGCAGAGGGUGGUGGAAUUUCCUGUGUAGC